AUUGAACGCUGGCGGCAGGCCUAACACAUGCGAGUCGAACGGUAACAGGAAGCAGCUUGCUGCUUUGCUGACGAGUGGCGGACGGGUGAGUAAUGUCUGGGAAACUGCCUGAUGGAGGGGGAUAACUACUGGAAACGGUAGCUAAUACCGCAUAACGUCGCAAGACCAAAGAGGGGGACCUUCGGGCCUCUUGCCAUCGGAUGUGCCCAGAUGGGAUUAGCUUGUUGGUGGGGUAACGGCUCACCAAGGCGACGAUCCCUAGCUGGUCUGAGAGGAUGACCAGCCACACUGGAACUGAGACACGGUCCAGACUCCUACGGGAGGCAGCAGUGGGGAAUAUUGCACAAUGGGCGCAAGCCUGAUGCAGCCAUGCCGCGUGUAUGAAGAAGGCCUUCGGGUUGUAAAGUACUUUCAGCGGGGAGGAAGGGAGUAAAGUUAAUACCUUUACUCAUUGACGUUACCCGCAGAAGAAGCACCGGCUAACUCCGUG
This 490-nucleotide ribosomal RNA is filed under the name uncultured bacterium. Its description in RNAcentral is "partial 16S ribosomal RNA". It matches the Rfam family "Bacterial small subunit ribosomal RNA", at positions 30 to 507 of the family's 1533-position model. The record is from RNAcentral.